UACGUAGGGAGCGAGCGUUGUCCGGAAUCAUUGGGCGUAAAGAGCAUGUAGGUGGAUCAAUUAGUCUGCUGUGAAAGUCAAAGGCUCAACCUUUGAAAGCCGGUGGAUACUGUUGAUCUAGAGUACGGAAGAGGCGAGUGGAAUUCCUGGUGUAGCGGUGGAAUGCGCAGAUAUCAGGAGGAACACCAAUAGCGAAGGCAGCUCGCUGGGACGUUACUGACACUGAGAUGCGAAAGCGUGGGG
This 243-nucleotide ribosomal RNA is filed under the name uncultured bacterium. Its description in RNAcentral is "partial 16S ribosomal RNA". It matches the Rfam family "Bacterial small subunit ribosomal RNA", at positions 524 to 766 of the family's 1533-position model. The record is from RNAcentral.